AUUGAACGCUGGCGGCAUGCUUUACACAUGCAAGUCGAACGGUAACAGGCCGCAAGGUGCUGACGAGUGGCGAACGGGUGAGUAAUGCAUCGGAACGUGCCCAGUCGUGGGGGAUAACUACUCGAAGGAGUAGCUAAUACCGCAUACGAUCUAUGGAUGAAAGCGGGGGACCGUAAGGCCUCGCGCGAUUGGAGCGGCCGAUGUCAGAUUAGGUAGUUGGUGGGGUAAAGGCUCACCAAGCCAACGAUCUGUAGCUGGUCUGAGAGGACAACCAGCCACACUGGGACUGAGACACGGCCCAGACUCCUACGGGAGGCAGCAGUGGGGAAUUUUGGACAAUGGGCGCAAGCCUGAUCCAGCAAUGCCGCGUGCAGGAAGAAGGCCUUCGGGUUGUAAACUGCUUUUGUACGGAACGAAACGGCUCUGGUUAAUACCCGGGGCUAAUGACGGUACCGUAAGAAUAAGCACCGGCUAACUACGUG
This 482-nucleotide ribosomal RNA is filed under the name uncultured bacterium. Its description in RNAcentral is "partial 16S ribosomal RNA". It matches the Rfam family "Bacterial small subunit ribosomal RNA", at positions 30 to 507 of the family's 1533-position model. The record is from RNAcentral.